This 503-nucleotide ribosomal RNA is filed under the name Prymnesium parvum. RNAcentral's name for it is "partial Bacterial small subunit ribosomal RNA". It matches the Rfam family "Bacterial small subunit ribosomal RNA", at positions 8 to 502 of the family's 1533-position model. The record is from RNAcentral. Lineage: Eukaryota; Haptophyta; Prymnesiales; Prymnesiaceae.
AGAGUUUGAUCAUGGCUCAGAUUGAACGCUGGCGGCAGGCUUAACACAUGCAAGUCGAGCGGAAACGAUUCUAGCUUGCUAGAAGGCGUCGAGCGGCGGACGGGUGAGUAAUGCAUGGGAAUCUGCCCGAUAGUGGGGGACAACCUGGGGAAACUCAGGCUAAUACCGCAUACGUCCUACGGGAGAAAGCAGGGGAUCUUCGGACCUUGCGCUAUCGGAUGAGCCCAUGUCGGAUUAGCUUGUUGGUGAGGUAAUGGCUCACCAAGGCGACGAUCCGUAGCUGGUCUGAGAGGAUGAUCAGCCACACUGGGACUGAGACACGGCCCAGACUCCUACGGGAGGCAGCAGUGGGGAAUUUUGGACAAUGGGCGCAAGCCUGAUCCAGCCAUGCCGCGUGCGGGAAGAAGGCCUUCGGGUUGUAAACCGCUUUUGUCAGGGAAGAAAAGACUCCGGAUAAUACCUGGGGUUCAUGACGGUACCUGAAGAAUAAGCACCGGCUAACU